Long non-coding RNA from Musa acuminata AAA Group (dessert banana), 545 nucleotides. RefSeq lists it as uncharacterized. The record is from RefSeq and is a predicted model, not a curated record. The transcript is spliced from 2 exons. NCBI's taxonomy places the organism in Eukaryota, Viridiplantae, Streptophyta, Magnoliopsida, Zingiberales, Musaceae.
UGGGACAAAAGAUGCAGCUCAGCAGCUGACAGCAAGAGCGAGAAAGAAGAGGGAGGAAAAGCUCGUUUCGAGCUGAGUCGAGGCCAUGUGAAGAAGAGCUGUCACUUGCAACUCCUGAUGCACCGUGGGGCAGAUGAUGCCGGAUCUGCAGAUGGGGUUUUGGAUCUUGAAUUGGCCGAGACCACGUGGACCUCUCUUGCUCUUCUUCAGCACCCGGUUUUGCUGCAAGCCAGCGACCGAGGACUGAGCCCCAUCGCUCUGCUCCAUUACCAACCUCAUCUUUUUGCUGCCACGAAGACGACACUCCUCGAGCUCGAGCUAUGAGUGACAUCUGAGCUUCUCAUUCGUCACUUGCUCUUCUUACUCAUCGGUAGUUUGCUUUAGUCGAUUGCUUCGACUUUGGUUUGAAACCACAGGUAUUCGCUCGAGUCUAUAGGAUUUGGAGAAGAACAGAGACAUCAAAAUCAGAUUACAGAACUCGAUGUAGUGCUGCACUCCGCACGAUGUAAUGUUCAAACAAGCUCUCAUGUAUGCCUCCUUUUUUA